CCUUCUUCACUAAGUUCUUUGAAUUUUUCCUUUUGUUGAAGCUUGUAUGUUGAAGCUUUGUGAGUGAAGCAUAUAGGUUGAGGUAGUGCUCCCAUAAUUUCCCAAGUGAGGAAAACUUCUCGUUUGGAGACUUGAAAAAUCCAAGUCACUGAAUGGUCGUAAGACUUCUGAGUAUCAAGGUGCAGUAGCAUAUGGUAGGAGUCCCCCAAGUCUCCGGUCAAGGGAGUUGACGAAUGAGGCAUUUCCUUUCUAAGUGGUAGCCCAAAACUCCUUUUUCAUAUAUAUUUGUUAUGAAAGUUGUUAGGCCCAAAGAAGAAGAGGCCUAGGCAAUUUUUUUUUUCGAUUUUUGUUUCGAUUUUUCAAAUUUUUUAAUUUUCAAAUUUUCGAAAAGAAAAA
RNAcentral lists this long non-coding RNA (396 nucleotides) under Malus domestica (apple). Its description in RNAcentral is "long non-coding RNA (MDOM_LNC018746)". Lineage: Eukaryota; Viridiplantae; Streptophyta; Magnoliopsida; Rosales; Rosaceae. The record is from RNAcentral.